GACCCGGUGGCGCAGUGGCAAGCGCGUCCCUUUAUCUUGUCAGGGAAGGCUCCUGUUCGAUUCAGGACUGGGUCG
Molecule: transfer RNA, 75 nt
Filed under: Athelia sp. TMB
Lineage: Eukaryota; Fungi; Basidiomycota; Agaricomycetes; Atheliales; Atheliaceae
Description: tRNA-Asp
Source: RNAcentral